Lycium ferocissimum is the source of this 804-nucleotide long non-coding RNA. RefSeq lists it as uncharacterized. The transcript is spliced from 2 exons. The record is from RefSeq and is a predicted model, not a curated record. NCBI's taxonomy places the organism in Eukaryota, Viridiplantae, Streptophyta, Magnoliopsida, Solanales, Solanaceae.
UUUCCUCAUUAUUUUCCCACGCAUCGCUUCACUGCCUCUUCCUCUUGCAUUACAACGCUUACUCUCAGACCGCUUCUUCCUUGCAUUCUCUUCUUUCUCUUUUAUCUCUCUGUCGCCAAGGACCUCCAUUUUGUUCAACCAAAAGCACAGACAGUCUGUUGCCGGAGACGUAAACAAAAAUGUCGGAAAGUUCAGAUUUGUCCAUGAAUUUCUUUUUCACUAUAAAGAAAAAGUUUUACCAAUCUGUUGCUGGAGAUGAAAAAAAUCGCAGGCUGUCUGGAUUUGAUUUCUCGCUUCACUUUUCUUUUGAAUUCCUCUGCUAAUCUCUCUAUUAUUUCAUCCUUGCCAUUUUACAUUUUCUUUUAUCGUACUCCAGUUACUUGUGCUUUGGUUUAUUUAUUCCAGUCCGUAUUUGCAUCACAUCAGUGAAGAGGAACUACUACAUCACAAACUGUGCCCAACUUAAUUGUGGAAACAUAGGAAAAAUAUGAGAUGCUUAUUAUGGCGCCCAUGAACUGUUCGAAAAGAUGCCCUAUAGAGAGAUCUUGCCCACGCCUUCAGAAAAAUGUGUUAUUUACUCAACAGAUGAAAGAUGCCCCAUAGGGACGGCUUCAGGAAAGGGUAUUAUUUAUUCAACAGAUGUAGGUCGAUAAUUCUUUGAAAGUAAAUCUUUACCCAUAUGUGUUCUUGGGUUAUAUUUGCAGCAUGUAAAAUCUACCCCUUUUUAGUUCAACAACUAAUGUUUUCCACCAUUACGUUCAACAUGGUUCAACGCCUAAUCUAAUUGUGUAGGUGUUUUCCUUU